UACGUAGGGGGCAAGCGUUGUUCGGAAUUACUGGGCGUAAAGGGCGCGUAGGCGGCAUGGCAAGUCAGGAGUGAAAGGCCUGGGCUCAACCGAGGAACUGCUUUUGAUACUGCCAAGCUAGAGUGCGGAAGGGGCAACUGGAAUUCCCAGUGUAGCGGUGAAAUGCGUAGAUAUUGGGGAAGAACACCUGAGGCGAAGGCGGGUUGCUGGGCCGACACUGACGCUGAGGCGCGAAAGCCAGGGGAGCAAACGGG
RNAcentral lists this ribosomal RNA (254 nucleotides) under uncultured bacterium. Its description in RNAcentral is "partial 16S ribosomal RNA". It matches the Rfam family "Bacterial small subunit ribosomal RNA", at positions 524 to 776 of the family's 1533-position model. The record is from RNAcentral.